AUACGUAGGGGGCAAGCGUUGUCCGGAAUUACUGGGCGUAAAGCGCGCGUAGGCGGUUUGAUUAGUCAGAUGUGAAAGCCCUGGGCUUAACCUGGGAACUGCAUUUGAUACUGUCAGGCUAGAGUAUGGUAGAGGGUAGUAGAAUUCCUGGUGUAGCGGUGAAAUGCGUAGAUAUCAGGAGGAAUACCAGUGGCGAAGGCGGCUACCUGGACCAAUACUGACGCUGAGGUGCGAAAGCGUGGGGAGCAAACAGGAUUAGAAACCCCGGUAGUCC
This 274-nucleotide ribosomal RNA is filed under the name uncultured bacterium. Its description in RNAcentral is "partial 16S ribosomal RNA". It matches the Rfam family "Bacterial small subunit ribosomal RNA", at positions 523 to 796 of the family's 1533-position model. The record is from RNAcentral.